Molecule: small nuclear RNA, 149 nt
Organism: Lynx canadensis (Canada lynx)
Lineage: Eukaryota; Metazoa; Chordata; Mammalia; Carnivora; Felidae
Gene: U2
Rfam family: U2 spliceosomal RNA
About the family: U2 is a small nuclear RNA (snRNA) component of the spliceosome (involved in pre-mRNA splicing). Complementary binding between U2 snRNA (in an area lying towards the 5' end but 3' to hairpin I) and the branchpoint sequence (BPS) of the intron results the bulging out of an unpaired adenosine, on the BPS, which initiates a nucleophilic attack at the intronic 5' splice site, thus starting the first of two transesterification reactions that mediate splicing.
Source: Ensembl
AUUGCUUCUCGGCCUUUUGGCCAAGAUCAAGUGUAGAAUUUCCCACGUUUCUUUUUACUUUCCACACGUGCUACUUAGUAAACUUAAAAUUACGUAUGUGACUCGCAUUAUUGUUCAAUUAGACUCCACUGCCCUUGAGUGCAGUCUGA